RNAcentral lists this ribosomal RNA (791 nucleotides) under uncultured Gammaproteobacteria bacterium. RNAcentral's name for it is "bacterial SSU rRNA". It matches the Rfam family "Bacterial small subunit ribosomal RNA", at positions 8 to 794 of the family's 1533-position model. Lineage: Bacteria; Pseudomonadati; Pseudomonadota; Gammaproteobacteria. The record is from RNAcentral.
AGGGUUUGAUCCUGGCUCAGAUUGAACGCUGGCGGCAGGCCUAACACAUGCAAGUCGAGCGGUAGAGAGAAGCUUGCUUCUCUUGAGAGCGGCGGACGGGUGAGUAAUGCCUAGGAAUCUGCCUGGUAGUGGGGGAUAACGUUCGGGAACGGACGCUAAUACCGCAUACGUCCUACGGGAGAAAGCAGGGGACCUUCGGGCCUUGCGCUAUCAGAUGAGCCUAGGUCGGAUUAGCUAGUUGGUGAGGUAAUGGCUCACCAAGGCGACGAUCCGUAACUGGUCUGAGAGGAUGAUCAGUCACACUGGAACUGAGACACGGUCCAGACUCCUACGGGAGGCAGCAGUGGGGAAUAUUGGACAAUGGGCGAAAGCCUGAUCCAGCCAUGCCGCGUGCGUGAAGAAGGUCUUCGGAUUGUAAAGCACUUUAAGUUGGGAGGAAGGGUUGUAGGUUAAUACUCUGCAAUUUUGACGUUACCGACAGAAUAAGCACCGGCUAACUCUGUGCCAGCAGCCGCGGUAAUACAGAGGGUGCAAGCGUUAAUCGGAAUUACUGGGCGUAAAGCGCGCGUAGGUGGUUUGUUAAGUUGGAUGUGAAAUCCCCGGGCUCAACCUGGGAACUGCAUUCAAAACUGACUGACUAGAGUAUGGUAGAGGGUGGUGGAAUUUCCUGUGUAGCGGUGAAAUGCGUAGAUAUAGGAAGGAACACCAGUGGCGAACGCGACCACCCGGACUAAUACUGACACUGAGGUGCGAAAGCGUGGGGAGCAAACAGGAUUAGAUACCCUGGUAGC